CCUACGGGGGGCAGCAGUGGGGAAUAUUGCACAAUGGAGGAAACUCUGAUCCAGCGACGCCGCGUGCGUGAAGAAGGAUUUCGGUAUGUAAAGCUCUAUCAGCAGGGAAGAAGAAAGACGGUACCUGACUAAGAAGCCCCGGCUAACUCCGUGCCAGCAGCCGCGGAAAUCCGUAGGGGGCAAGCGUUAUUCGGAUUUAGUGGGUGGAAAGGGAGCGUAGACGGGUGUGCAAGUAUGAAGUGAAAGCCCACGGCUCAACCCUGGGACUGCUUUGGAAACUGGGGAGCUAGAGUGCUGGAGAGGUUAGUGGAAUUCCUAGUGUAGCGGUGAAAUGCGUAGAUAUUAUGAGGAACACCAGUGGCGAAGGCGGCUUACUGGACAGUAACUGACGUUGAGGCUCGAAAGCGUGGGGAGCAAACAGGAUUAGAUACCCUAGUAGUC
Molecule: ribosomal RNA, 441 nt
Filed under: uncultured bacterium
Lineage: Bacteria
Description: partial 16S ribosomal RNA
Rfam family: Bacterial small subunit ribosomal RNA
Source: RNAcentral